RNAcentral lists this long non-coding RNA (2643 nucleotides) under Homo sapiens (human). RNAcentral describes it as "HSALNT0137730". The record is from RNAcentral. Lineage: Eukaryota; Metazoa; Chordata; Mammalia; Primates; Hominidae.
UUCUAAGAGUUUUUAUAUAUUCUACAUACAAGUCCCUCAUAAGAUGCUUGAUUUGAAAAUAUCUUCUCCCAUUCUGUGAGUUGUCUUUCUUUUUUCUGAUAGCACCCAUUUAAACACAAAAGCAUUUCAUAUUUUUAAGCCCCAAUUUGUAUACUUUUUCUUUUGUUGUUUGUGCUUACUGUGUCAAAGCUAAAAACUCAAUGCCAAAUUUAUGGUCCCAAAGAUUUACUCCUAUGUUUCCUUCUAAGAAUUGUAUAGUUUUAGUUCUUACAUGAGGCCUUCAAGUUUGAGCCAAUUUUUGUAUUUUGCGUAAAAUAAGGUUCAACUUCAUAUUUUUUGCAUGUGGAUAUCCAGAUGCCCCAGCAUCACUUAUUGAAACGUCUAUUCUCCCUUUGUUGAAUUGAAUGGUGAUGUCAUAGAAAAUGGUGGAGUUGGAAACUAGAAGAAUCAGGGCCUUAACUGAACCAACCAUUAAGCUGGAAAAUCUUACAGAAUCAACUUUUCUCGAACUCUUAAAUCUAAACAAAAACUUACAGGCACUUAAGAAAAUCUCUUUCAGCUGUUGGGUUACCGGCUGACAUCUGAGGUCACAGAACAGAGGCUUCAGUGACUGCGCAUGACAAAGAAUACAGCUUUUGCAAAAAUAGUUUGCAAAAGUCACUAAACAAAUAGAUGACUUCAGCCCUCAAUCAACAACAGCAAACCUGAAGGAAGGGAAAAUCUUAUUUACGGAGUUACCUCAUUAUGAUAUUCAACAUGUCUAGUUUUCAACAACAACAACAAAAAAAUGCAAGGUGUAGAAAUAGGAAAAUACAGGCCAUUCACAGGGGAGAAAAAAAGAAAGAAAUGGAGAGAAGCUAUUUUUUGACGAAGUCCAAGCACUGGAUUUAUAGAAAAGACUUUAAGUCAACCAUAGUGUGAGGUGAUUAGAAAAUAUCAUUGGCAAUAAACUUUUAAUUAUAUGCUCAGUGUAAAACAUUUGAAACUAUUUUCAUGAGACUGACAAUGCCACCAACUCUACUUUUUAUUUUUAACGAGUUCUUUUUCUAAUUAUUGUCUUAUAUUCAGUUUUGGAAACAAAGCCUUCAACUCUUCCCUUACUCCAGAGAAGGGAUAAAGGAUAGUUCUCUUAAAAUUUGUGUUCUGCAUUAGUCUAAAGGGCAAUUUCAUCUAUGCUCUGAUUACAUAAUUGAAAAAAUAUGAAUUUGUAAAGAAAAAAAUGGCAAUGCUACCAGACCAGUGCAACUGUAAGUGCUGGCUUCUGGCCUGUGUGUGCACUAGUCCACAAUGAGGUUAAAAAAAAUUGAGAGUAAAUGUUUAGAAAAUUUUACAACAAUUUCACAGAGUAGUUCUAUGUCUGUUGGAUAUAAUAAUGAAAGACUUGGUGGUAUUUCCAAUGCUUUCCAUUUCAUUUGUCUACUCAUUUACUUUUAUUUUACUUUACAGAAGUACUGAUCCACAACAUAUUUGGCAAAAUUUUCUUAAAACUAGUCCUUUAUUUAAAAACUAGCACUGUUUAAGACACACUGUGCCAAGCAUAUUUACCAAGGCUUCUGAAUCAGCUUUUAUUUGAGAGGAGAACAAUUAUUUCCUCUGGUACCAAAAUACUUAGAUCUCAACCCAAGGACAAAGCUGACAAACAAUUAACUACAUUGACAAAAAAAAAAAAAAAAUCUCAAAUUACUACAAUCAGGAGUGAAACAGGGGACAUGACUACCAUUUGGGGGGCCCCCUUUUUCUUUCUCAGAUAACCACUUUAGGUUUUUUUUAUUCUCUCUGAUUUUCUGUUAUCUAUUCUGUUUCUUGAUGCUGUCAUCUUGAGCUAAUUUUUCUUCUAUCUCGCUGCUUUGAAUUUAGUUUGCUCUUCUUUUUCUAGUUUUAAGGUAGACAGGUUGUUGUUUGAGAUUUUUUUUAUUUUUUAAGGUAGGCUUUUAAAAUUCUUAAUGUCCAGCUGAGCAUUGCUUUUGCUGUGUUCUAUAAGUUUUAGUAUGUUAUGUUGUCAUUUUCAUUUAUCUCAAAAUAUGUUCUAAUUUCCCUUGUGAUUUCUUCUUUGCCCCACUGGUUACCUAGGAGUUUGGUGUAAUGUUCGCAUAUUUGUGAAUUUUUCAAAUUUCAUUCUGUUAUUGCCUUUUAAUUUAGGUUCUUUGUGAUUGGAGAGCGUACUCUGAAUGAUUUAAAUCUAUUUAGGUUUAUCCUAAUUUGUUUUGUGGCCGAACAUAUGGUCUGUGCUAGAAAAUGUUUCAUGUGCAUAUUAUUAGAACACACAUUCUGCUGUCCUUUCUGAAGUGAUCUGUAGAUGUGUUUAGGUCUAGCAGAUAUACAAUACUAUUCAAGUAACCUAUUUUCUUGUUGAUCUUAUGUCUAGUUGUUCUUUACAUCAAUGAAAAUGGGGUACAAAAGUUUCCAACUCUCAUUGGAACUGUCAUUUAUCUCUUCAAUUCUGUCAGUUUUGCUUCAUGUAUUUUGAGGUUCUGAUGUUCAGUGCAGAUGUUUAUAUUUGUGAUGUCUUCUUGAUGGAUUAUCCUUUUAUCAUUACAUAAUGUCACUUUGUCUCUCAUAACAAUUUUUAUCUUAAAGUCUACUUUUUCUGACAUUAGUAUAGUCACUCAAUUUCUUUUCUUUCUUUCUUUCUUUUUUUUUUAG